RNAcentral lists this ribosomal RNA (400 nucleotides) under uncultured bacterium. RNAcentral's name for it is "bacterial SSU rRNA". It matches the Rfam family "Bacterial small subunit ribosomal RNA", at positions 32 to 416 of the family's 1533-position model. The record is from RNAcentral.
AAUCAACGCUGGCGGCGUGCCUAACACAUGCAAGUCGAACGCGAAAAGGGCUUCGGCUCUUAGUAGAGUGGCGAACGGGUGAGUAACACGUGGGUGACCUACCUUUGAAUGGGGGAUAACGUCCCGAAAGGGACGCUAAUACCGCAUAACAUCCUGCCUUUGAACAGGUGGAGAUCAAAGCCGGGGAUCGCAAGACCUGGCGUUUGGAGAGGGGCCCGCGUCUGAUUAGCUAGUUGGUGAGGAACGGCCCACCAAGGCGACGAUCAGUAUCCGGCCUGAGAGGGCGGACGGACACACUGGGACUGAGACACGGCCCAGACUCCUACGGGAGGCAGCAGUGGGGAAUUGUUCGCAAUGGGCGCAAGCCUGACGACGCAACGCCGCGUGGAGGAUGAAGGUC